Molecule: ribosomal RNA, 497 nt
Filed under: uncultured bacterium
Lineage: Bacteria
Description: partial 16S ribosomal RNA
Rfam family: Bacterial small subunit ribosomal RNA
Source: RNAcentral
GAUGAACGCUGGCGGCGUGCCUAAUACAUGCAAGUCGAGCGAACGGACGAGAAGCUUGCUUCUCUGAUGUUAGCGGCGGACGGGUGAGUAACACGUGGAUAACCUACCUAUAAGACUGGGAUAACUUCGGGAAACCGUAGCUAAUACCGGAUAAUAUUUUGAACCGCAUGGUUCAACAGUGAAAGACGGUCUUGCUGUCACUUAUAGAUGGAUCCGCGCUGCAUUAGCUAGUUGGUAAGGUAACGGCUUACCAAGGCAACGAUGCAUAGCCGACCUGAGAGGGUGAUCGUCCACAGUGGAACUGAGACACGGUCCAGACCCCUACGGGAGGCAGCAGUAGGGAAUCUUACGAAAUGGGCGAAAGCCUGACGGAGCAACGCCGCGUGAGUGAUGAAGGUCUUCGGAUCGUAAAACUCUGUUAUUAGGGAAGAACAUAUGUGUAAGUAACUGUGCACAUCUUGACGGUACCUAAUCAGAAAGCCACGGCUAACUACGUG